GCCCCUGUGAGAAUGCCCUGUAACCUCUGGAUGAGAUCAAGGAGCUGGUAUCAGGCACACUUAAAUGUAGCCCACGACGCCUUGCUUAGCCACACCCCCAAGGGAGUCCAGCAGUGAUAGAUUUUAAGCCAUAAGUGAAAACUUGACUUAGUUAAUGCUAGUGAGAGUCGGUAAAACUCGUGCCAGCCACCGCGGUUAUACGAGAGACUCAAGUUGACAAUCAUCGGCGUAAAGAGUGGUUAAGAUGUAUAAAAACUAGAGCUAAAUACCCUCAAAGCUGUUAUACGCUCUCGAAGGUAAGAAGCCCAACUACGAAAGUGGCUCUAUCAUAUCUGAUUCCACGAAAGCUAGGGCACAAACUGGGAUUAGAUACCCCACUAUGCCUAGCCCUAAACAUUGACAGUUAAUUACACCCACUGUCCGCCUGGGAACUACGAGCACCAGCUUAAAACCCAAAGGACUUGGCGGUGCUUUAGACCCACCUAGAGGAGCCUGUUCUAGAACCGAUAAUCCCCGUUAAACCUCACCCUUCCUUGUCAUUUCC
Molecule: ribosomal RNA, 544 nt
Filed under: Chaetodon auripes (oriental butterflyfish)
Lineage: Eukaryota; Metazoa; Chordata; Actinopteri; Chaetodontiformes; Chaetodontidae
Description: partial 12S rRNA
Rfam family: Bacterial small subunit ribosomal RNA
Source: RNAcentral